GGUGAACCUUGUGCACACUAGAGUUUGAGAAGCACCCCUCUAAACAAAUCAUUCUUAUUUCUUCUAGGGAGGAAAAAGGAAAAAAACAGAUAAGAUCUCUUCAAAAACAGCUACUUAAUGUCAAAAGAGAACGGCAAGCUGAAGUACAGAGUCGGAAUGAAUAUAUUGCUCACCUCAAGGACCAGUUGCAAGAGAUGAAAGCAAAAACCAACAUGGAAAAUCGCUAUAUGAAGAAAAACACUGAGCUGCAGAUCUCCCAGACCCAGAAGAAAUGUAACAGAACUGAGGAGCUCUUGCUCGAAGAGAUCGAGAAACUGAGGUUGAAAACCGAAGAAGAGAACAGGAUUCAUAUGGAGAUUGAAAUGUUCCUUAGAAAGGAGCAGCAGGUGGGUCACCAGAACUUUCCUGCCCUCCGAUGGGCUUGUGUUCCACUUACAAGAUACCAAGGACGGCAAAAAAAAUGUUAAGGAAAGACAUUUUUUGAGGGGUAAAAAUCAACCAUAAUUCUACUAGCCUAAUGAAUGAGCUGUAGCCCAUGUCUUGUCUCACAGUUAUCCAUCUGAAUGAAUAUUUUAUAAUUUGAGUACAGGUGAAAUUUUGUUUUCUGCCUCUAUCAUUCAGCAUUAUAUAAGAAACUGU
Ailuropoda melanoleuca (giant panda) is the source of this 639-nucleotide long non-coding RNA. RefSeq lists it as uncharacterized. The record is from RefSeq and is a predicted model, not a curated record. The transcript is spliced from 3 exons. Lineage: Eukaryota; Metazoa; Chordata; Mammalia; Carnivora; Ursidae.